Molecule: long non-coding RNA, 1235 nt
Filed under: Pogona vitticeps (central bearded dragon)
Lineage: Eukaryota; Metazoa; Chordata; Lepidosauria; Squamata; Agamidae
Description: lncRNA (ENSPVIG00000019282.1)
Source: RNAcentral
CUAGUUCUGCAGCUUAGUGGAAGAUUGUGGUAUAAAUGCAGACCAGCAUGAACUGGACUUAUUUGUUUUUGUGCAGUAUAAAAAUGCAUACUUUCUGACUGAGGCAGUUUCCACAUUGGGCUGAGAGUAAUCAGAGAUAAGAUAGGAAGAGAUGAAUGAGCAGCUGUGAAAGAUCAGCAGGAAAUUGCAUGGAAAACAAGCAGGAGAAGAGCAUCUGGAUCAUGGAAACAGAAGAGGAGAAAAGUGUAACCACACUUGGAGAGGACAUAAUCAUCCUACAUCUUCUUCCUCCGCCGACCUACAGGGCUGUCUGGCAUGGAUGCCUAGUUGUCUUUAAAACGCUGAUUCCAGUACAUUAAAAAAAAUCAUGACAGCCACUUCUUUUUUUUAGUCAUAAUGUUGUAAGUGACAAUUCAGUGCACACGUCUCAAAGGACAAUCUAGGUGUUGGCUGACCAAUAGGCAGUAGGGUUAAAUAACUGUAUGAGAUGGUUACACGACAAUGAUGCAACACUGUUUUUGGCCCAGUUUCUCUCUGUUGCCCUUCUAGUACUUCAUUUGUUGUCAGUAGACCUCCACUGCUGUUGCCUACUUGGUAGUACAGCUCCUUGUUUCCAUCCCAAAGUGGCUCAUUACUUGCCUUACUUUCAGACCUGCAAGAGUUUUCCCUAGAAGUAAUGCAAGCCAUGGGAAGACGCGGCACGUGACCUCAGCCAUGAUCUUCCCUGUCAUUUGUGAAGAUGGCAUCUUUGUUAUCAGCUUGUGCAUAACUGAUCUGUCCUGCAUCCUUAAUGCUGGGAACUCAUUUGCUCAAGCAUUUUGGCUCCUGAGAUGAUUUACAGUUCUUAAGAAAUUGGGAGAGGCAGCAGCCUUUGGAAAGCACCAGGAGAGCUAUCUCUCAGCACCACGGUAGCUACAGGCACAGCACUGGGGACCCAAGUUCUAGGUACAUAGAGGUAUAUCCACAUACAGUAUAUAGUGUUCCUAGCUCCACUUGGUCAAUCUCAAUGAUAUGGUCAAAGAACCCAAAGCAGAUUCCACAAACCUGAAGCUUGACCACUCAGCCAUGGCCAGGUCAGCUUUAUAUUACCAGAGGCAAAUUGCACACCUUCGCCCCUAUCCUGAUGGGAAGUCCCUAACAACACUGGUCCAGCCACUUGGUAAUCUUCAAAAUAGAAGAUUGUAAUGCUUUUUACAUUCGGCUGCCCUUCAAGGUGGUUCAGAAGCUGCAGCAAG